GAGAGAUAAGGAGAGAGACAGUGAGUGUCCACCAGCCCUCAGCAGUAAUGGGUGGCUGGAAGCAACAGGUGGUGCAGUUUGACAGAAAAUUUCAAGAACUACAGGCGGAAAAAAAUACAAGUUGUUUUGUUCUUCUUUUUGUUGUUGUUCUUGUUUUGUCAAUCAUCUUUUGCUGCUCUUCCUCUUCUUCCUUCUCUAUUUUGGAACCGUGCAUCGAUUCCACUGUAACCUUUCAAUUUUACUAACCUUUCAAUUUUAUUUGUUCUGAGCUCCAGAAAAAAACCAAAUACAUAUUUGCAUGCUGCCGUGACGGUGACUGUUUGUGUUUGUGGAAAGAAAACUGCACGCCACCUUCUCUAAAGCUGUGCUUGCUGCCAUACGUUGCUGCAUCAGUUUGGGGAAGUGA
This is a long non-coding RNA of Oreochromis niloticus (Nile tilapia), 406 nucleotides long. RefSeq lists it as uncharacterized. Lineage: Eukaryota; Metazoa; Chordata; Actinopteri; Cichliformes; Cichlidae. The transcript is spliced from 2 exons. The record is from RefSeq and is a predicted model, not a curated record.